UACAAAUACAGCCAAGUGUAUGGUGUCAGGGAACUAUUUAUUGAAGGUAGGGUCUGGCUGUAGCUGAUAUGGGAGAAAAGCACCUCACUGCGCAGUGCUGGAGAGUCUUCAGGUACAGAUGCUGGAUUCUAGAGCAACACUCAUUGCUAGUGCGGUAUCGAUGAUGAGGAGCUGGUGCUUCAGGGACAUGAAGAUGACUAAAUAUGGAAAGCUCUGCGACUGAGACCAAGACAAGGUAGACAUCCAAAUGAUAGUGCUGCCCAGAGAGAAACUUAUGACUCAGUCUUCCUGGAAUUUAUACAAUUUACCUCCUCCUACUUAUUCCACUUUGCAGCUUUUUGUCACACGUUUAUUCUUAGCAUCCUGAGCAUAAAAAGUGCUUGAAAAAAAGGGAAAGAGGCUGGUUGUCACAUCACCUCCUUUCACUUGCUGGUCUCCACAAUGAAAAGGAGCUGAGUGAAUAAAAGUGUCUGAGAUGGGUCACAUUCCCAGCCUUUCAACAGUUAAGCAAAGACUUUGUCCUAAGAGAAGAUGGUGCAGUCAUUAUUCAUUUGCUUUAUAAAGAUAUAGCAAUUUGGCACUCAGUCACUCAGUUGAGGGAGAAGAAAGGGACUGUGGUCUUUACUCAA
Long non-coding RNA from Numida meleagris (helmeted guineafowl), 629 nucleotides. RefSeq lists it as uncharacterized. The record is from RefSeq and is a predicted model, not a curated record. NCBI's taxonomy places the organism in Eukaryota, Metazoa, Chordata, Aves, Galliformes, Numididae. The transcript has 5 exons.